UACGUAGGUGGCAAGCGUUGUCCGGAUUUACUGGGUGUAAAGGGCGUGCAGCCGGAGAGGCAAGUCAGAUGUGAAAUCCGCGGGCUCAACCCGCGAACUGCAUUUGAAACUGCUUCCCUUGAGUAUCGGAGAGGUAAUCGGAAUUCCUAGUGUAGCGGUGAAAUGCGUAGAUAUUAGGAAGAACACCAGUGGCGAAGGCGGAUUACUGGACGACAACUGACGGUGAGGCGCGAAAGCGUGGGGAGCAACCAGG
This 253-nucleotide ribosomal RNA is filed under the name uncultured bacterium. RNAcentral describes it as "partial 16S ribosomal RNA". It matches the Rfam family "Bacterial small subunit ribosomal RNA", at positions 524 to 776 of the family's 1533-position model. The record is from RNAcentral.